GUGAUUUUGGUUUUGAGUUGAAGCCCUUAUAUACUAUCAUAAAAGGGGAUUAAAGGUCAAAAGUUUUGAUGAAUUUCUACCUUGCUUCCAAGGGGGUUUAAAUUACUAUAAAAGUGAAAAGAGAGGUUUACGAUAAGCUGCCGACUGGGGGAUCUAGAUUCAAGGGUGCCUUGUGUCAGUAUCUCUGGACAACUUUUUGGAAGUACAAAUUCAAAAUCAUAGCCAAAUAAGAGUCUGGAAGAUUAUUAGAAAGAAGAAAAAAGAAAAGGAAAGAAGGAAGCGACAUUUAGAAUGGCUGGAGACAGACAUCAUUACUUUGGAUGUUAACUCAGACAUCAGACAAAGAGAAUGUCACUUUAUAAAGCCAAAGUUGUAGCAAAAUUGCAGCACAUGCAUGUAGUUUAUACAGUGUGCAAGUGUUCGGUGAAAAAAGGAUCUUCCAAUUACAGUUUCCAUUUAAGAGCAUCAGUUUUUGAAGUACAAAAUUGAUUUGUGUAUCGCGUUUGCCUUUGCUGAAAGAGUACUCUGGGACUAAGCUCGAAAGUUAAAGUGUAAAAGUUAAAGUUUGGUAAAUCAAUUCAGCAAAAUGACCUAUUAAUGAUUUGAAUCAAGUAGAGUUAUAUGGAGGGCUUGAAGAGAGACGAAAUGUGCUAAGAAAGCCAAGCAAUGGUUUAACUGUUGAUAGGUAGCAAAGAGGAUAAGUAAGCUAAGGUGAGAUUGGCGGUGAUUAAUGGGUAUUAUUAGAAAGAUUACUGGAUGAG
Molecule: long non-coding RNA, 761 nt
Organism: Cucumis sativus (cucumber)
Lineage: Eukaryota; Viridiplantae; Streptophyta; Magnoliopsida; Cucurbitales; Cucurbitaceae
Exons: 2
Source: RefSeq, a predicted model, not a curated record